This is a non-coding RNA of Gossypium raimondii (Peruvian cotton), 107 nucleotides long. Lineage: Eukaryota; Viridiplantae; Streptophyta; Magnoliopsida; Malvales; Malvaceae. The record is from Rfam.
AAUCCCAUGAAAAGGGUUUUUUUAAAUAAUUCUUUGAAUCUCUCCCCUGCCUCAUAUAAGGACUCAUCAUCUAGUUGUUGAAAAUGCAGUGAUCUCAUUUCGUAACU